UUCGAGCUUUAGUUUUCCGCCAAAUAAAACGCGCUGCGGAGCAGCCGAGACCGAGAGUGACGGCGAUUGAAAUCCAACACCUGAAAAAAAAAACUACUUUUGUUUAUUUGUGCUUCCCCCCUGCUUUUUGAUUCUCUAUAUGGAGCUAAGAACGGUUCGAGUGGGGAACAUCUCAGAUCUGGCCGGGGAGAGGGAGAUUCGAGAGUUCUUCUCCUUCUCCGGCGACAUCGAGUAUGUUGAGAUCCAAAGUGGUGAUGUGGGAAAUGGGAGGACUGCUUAUGUUACAUUUAGAGAUCCGAAAGCACUUGAGAUCGCAUUGCUGCUGUCGGGAGCUACAAUUGUUGACCGGAUAGUGACCAUAACUCCUGCCGAGAAUUACAUUUAUAUCCCUAUCGUUGAGGGGCGUUCUAUGGUAAAUGAGGUGACGAGCUCAACUUCUACCGGAAAUUUUGUACCGACUGUUGAGGUUGAGACGAGUCCCAGCGGUGGCCGGAUUUAUGUCAGUAAAGCCCAUGAUGUCGUGACAAGCAUGCUAGCAAGGGGUUCAGCAAUUGGACAAGACGCUGUGAAUAGAGCCAAAGCAUUUGACGAGAAGCAUCGAUGGACGGCUAGUGCAUCAGCAAAGGUUACAUCUUUCGAUAGGAGGGUUGGCCUUUCAGAGAAAAUCUCUGUUGGAAUAUCAGUCGUUAAUGAGAAAGUGAAAUCUGUGGAUCAAAGGUUACAUGUUUCUGACAAAACGAUCGUUGCCAUAACAGUAGCAGAGCGCAAGCUAAAUGACACAGGCACUGCUGUGAAAACUAACAGGUAUGUAACUGCUGGAACUACUUGGCUUAAUGGAACUUUUCGCAAAGUGGCAAAGGCUAGCCAUGCUGCAAGCACAAAAACAAGAGAGAAGUUUCAAUUGGCAGUGUCCAAUCUAACAGCAAAGGAUCCAGCUGUUGCUGCAUAAGAUAGUAUUAUCGUGUGGGAGGAAGCUUUAUUUGUACCUUUGGACGAAUUCAAUCAAGCAUUUGUUUGCACAUGUGUGCCAUUGAUUAUCUCAAGAAGGAGGAGGAAGAUUGAGGCAAUGAAAGAAUCUUAUUAUUAUUCCAACUGAGUGGAGAAGGAGAAUUAUUGGCUCAAAAGAUGACAGUACGGAUCAUAAAAGCCUAAAUUGUAAUGAGAGAAAAGGAGAUUUGGUGGGGUGAAGCCAAAAGACAAAAGGAUAGGACCUUGUAAGUUUGUGAGAUACAUUACCCCAUCUGCAGUGGAUGACCAUAUAUAUUUACCGAUGGUAAAAGGUUAUACGCCAUUUGGAUUUUAAACUUAUGGAAUCAUAUUUAUGUGCUUC
Molecule: RNA transcript, 1330 nt
Organism: Ananas comosus (pineapple)
Lineage: Eukaryota; Viridiplantae; Streptophyta; Magnoliopsida; Poales; Bromeliaceae
Gene name: binding partner of ACD11 1-like
Exons: 9
Source: RefSeq, a predicted model, not a curated record